UUUAAAAAUUUUAAAAUAAUU
This 21-nucleotide unclassified non-coding RNA is filed under the name Mammalian orthoreovirus 3. Its description in RNAcentral is "RNA (5'-R(P*UP*UP*UP*AP*AP*AP*AP*AP*UP*UP*UP*UP*AP*AP*AP*AP*UP*AP*AP*UP*U)-3') from Mammalian orthoreovirus 3 (PDB 7YED, chain M)". Lineage: Riboviria; Orthornavirae; Duplornaviricota; Resentoviricetes; Reovirales; Spinareoviridae. The record is from RNAcentral.